This 62-nucleotide microRNA precursor is filed under the name Vicugna pacos (alpaca). Its description in RNAcentral is "miRNA (ENSVPAG00000016765.1)". The record is from RNAcentral. Lineage: Eukaryota; Metazoa; Chordata; Mammalia; Artiodactyla; Camelidae.
GGGCGUAUGUGUGUGCGUGCUUGUGUGUGCACGCGUGCACAAGUAUGUGUGCAUGUGCAUGU